RNAcentral lists this microRNA (20 nucleotides) under Corchorus capsularis. Its description in RNAcentral is "sRNA CCACVL1_25081". The record is from RNAcentral. Lineage: Eukaryota; Viridiplantae; Streptophyta; Magnoliopsida; Malvales; Malvaceae.
CACACACACACACACAUAAA